Molecule: ribosomal RNA, 1350 nt
Filed under: Triticum aestivum (bread wheat)
Lineage: Eukaryota; Viridiplantae; Streptophyta; Magnoliopsida; Poales; Poaceae
Description: partial small subunit ribosomal RNA
Source: RNAcentral
AUGAACACGGACGCACUACUCCGCUUUAAUUGCCGCAAGCGCUGCCUACCGGCUGACGGUCGCCUCGACGACCACUGGCGCGGCCAGCAGCGCAAGCGCCGCGGCGUGCGCGUCCUCGUUCCCGACUGCUUCCUCGUGCCCCCGCCGGAAGCCAAAUCCGCUGAUUUCGACAUGUGGGACUACAUCUGCAGCAUCCCCGACAGGCUGGGAUGGGGCAACGGCCUGAGGCUGCUCAAGGGCUGGGUCCGUGCGUCGAAGGAUGUGCCGCAGGAUCCGUCGGAUCUCACGUGUCUCACCAAGAAUAGCGAUGUGAAGCCAGGGCGCGUGGUGGUCGCGGGGAAUUGGAAAGUAGAUGACCCCGUGAAGGUCGCUUUGAAGGCAGCGGCGCCGCCUCCUCCUCGGCGGGAAAAGGUGAAACCGUAUUGGAAGUAUCUCCACGAGGAGACGAGACAUAAUGACAAGAGCUUGGGCGAGAUCGACGCCCGGGUGGCUCUUCUGGAGAAGACGCUUGAGGAGCAGAGGAGGGUGGCUCUUCUGGAGAAGACGCUUGAAGAGCAGAGGAGGGUGGCUCUUCUGGAGAAGACGCUUGAGGAGCAGAGGACGCUGGCUGAGCCGCCUAAGGAGGAUCUGUCUCAAUUCUUUGUACCUAUAACUGCUGAAGAUGAAAUGGAAGUUCAGGAUUGUUUGUAUGGUAAUGGUUCAAGUAGCAAAGUCCUGGUGCUGCAUGAACCGUCUAACAUUGAGGUUAGCAGGGAAAAAAUUCGGUGUUUGAGACCACAUGGCUGGUUAAAUGAUGAGGUCAUUAAUUUGUACCUUGAAUUGUUAAAGGAGAGGGGAAUGAGAGAACCAAAAAGGUUCUUGAAAUGCCAUUUCUUCAAUACAUUUUUUUAUAAGAAGCUUGCUUGUGGAAAAACUGGAUAUGACUACAAAUCUGUAAAAAGAUGGACUACCUCCAGGAAGUUGGGUUAUGAGCUCAUUGAAUGUGAUAAAAUCUUUGUCCCCGUACAUCAAAAUGUGCAUUGGUGUUUGGCAAUUAUAAACAUGAAGGCGAAGACAGUACAAUAUCUUGAUUCUCUUGGCGGCGAUGAUCUUCGUGUAUACGAAAUGCUGGCUAGAUAUAUUGUGGAUGAAGUGAAGGACAAGAGUAAUAAAGAGAUUGACAUAAGUUCUUGGACCAAAGAAUCUAUUGAUCGUAUUCCUUUACAAGAGAAUGGGUGGGAUUGUGGUAUGUUUAUGCUCAAGUACAUUGAUUUCCACAGCAGAGGAGUCGGCUUAUCUUUUCGUCAGGAUCACAUGGAAUACUUUCGGAGGAGAACAGCUAAGGAAAUCUUAAGACUAAGGGCUGACUAA